Molecule: transfer RNA, 72 nt
Filed under: Ruminococcus sp. AM28-29LB
Lineage: Bacteria; Bacillati; Bacillota; Clostridia; Eubacteriales; Oscillospiraceae
Description: tRNA-Gly
Rfam family: tRNA
About the family: Transfer RNA (tRNA) molecules are approximately 80 nucleotides in length. Their secondary structure includes four short double-helical elements and three loops (D, anti-codon, and T loops).
Source: RNAcentral
GCGGAUGUAGUUUAGUGGUAGAACUUCAGCCUUCCAAGCUGAUCGUGUCGGUUCGAUCCAUCAUCCGCUCCA